UGGGGAAUAUUGCACAAUGGAGGGAACUCUGAUGCAGCGACGCCGCGUGAACGAAGAAGGCUUUCGAGUCGUAAAGUUCUUUUAUAUGGGAAGAUAAUGACGGUACCAUAAGAAGAAGCCCAGGAUAACUACGUGCCAGCAGCCGCGGUAAUACGUAGGGGGCUAGCGUUGUCCGGAAUCACUGGGCGUAAAGGGUUCGCAGGCGGAAAUGCAAGUCAGGUGUAAAAGGCAGUAGCUUAACUACUGUAAGCAUUUGAAACUGCAUAUCUUGAGAAGAGUAGAGGUAAGUGGAAUUUUUAGUGUAGCGGUGAAAUGCGUAGAUAUUAAAAAGAAUACCGGUGGCGAAGGCGACUUACUGGGCUCAUUCUGACGCUGAGGAACGAAAGCGUGGGUAGCAAACAGG
Molecule: ribosomal RNA, 403 nt
Filed under: bacterium
Lineage: Bacteria
Description: partial 16S ribosomal RNA
Rfam family: Bacterial small subunit ribosomal RNA
Source: RNAcentral